Molecule: ribosomal RNA, 477 nt
Filed under: uncultured bacterium
Lineage: Bacteria
Description: partial 16S ribosomal RNA
Rfam family: Bacterial small subunit ribosomal RNA
Source: RNAcentral
GAUGAACGCUGGCGGCGUGCCUAACACAUGCAAGUCGAACGAAGCACCUUACCUGAUUCUUCGGAUGAUAGUUUGGUGACUGAGUGGCGGACGGGUGUGUAACGCGUGGGUAACCUGCCCUGUACAGGGGGAUAACAGCUGGAAACGGCUGCUAAUACCGCAUAAGCGCACGAGGAGACAUCUCCUUGUGUGAAAAACUCCGGUGGUACAGGAUGGGCCCGCGUCUGAUUAGCUGGUUGGCAGGGUAACGGCCUACCAAGGCAACGAUCAGUAGCCGGUCUGAGAGCAUGAACGGCGACAUUGGACCUGAGACACGGGCCAAACUCCUACGGGAGGCAGCAGUGGGGAAUAUUGCACAAUGGGGGAAACCCUGAAGCAGCAACGCCGCGUGAAUGAAGAAGUAUUUCGGUAUGUAAAGCUCUAUCAGCAGGGAAGAUAAUGACGGGACCUGACGAAGAAGCUCCGGCUAAAUACGUG